This 3881-nucleotide long non-coding RNA is filed under the name Sus scrofa (pig). RNAcentral describes it as "lncRNA (ENSSSCG00000058013.1)". Lineage: Eukaryota; Metazoa; Chordata; Mammalia; Artiodactyla; Suidae. The record is from RNAcentral.
CUCUGAUCCUCCUAUUUCCCUGAAAGCAGAAAAUAAAUCUCCCAGUGAAAAGUGCAUUCCCUGAAUCUGGAGGUAGAAGGAUGUUCUUAACGCCAAGAUAGGGAAUUCAGGCUGAGAGGCCUGUAUAAACAAAUCUUGUUACUUUUUUUUGUUUGUUUGUUUGUUUGCUAUUUCUUUGGGCCGCUCCUGCGGCAUAUGGAGGUUCCCAGGCUAGGGGUCGAAUCAGAGCCACAGCAACACAGGAUCCGAGCCGCGUCUGCAACCUACACCACAGCUCACGGCAACGCCGGAUCGUUAACCCACUGAGCAAGGGCAGGGAUUGAACCCGCAAUCUCAUGGUUCCUAGUCGGAUUUGUUAACCACUGCGCCACGACGGGAACUCCCUUGUUACUUCUUUAAUUUACUUCCCAAGCCAAAUUCUGUUUAGAUUUUUCACUAGCUGAGCACCCAAAACCUAAAUUUCUUUGCGUUGUCAAUUCUCACACAUUUAUGCUUUCUUAGUAUAAAAUCUACCUGCUUUGGCCACUUCUGAGUUCUCAUUUCUUUGAGAUCUCCACAUGCCUGAAAUAAAAUGUUUCUUUUUCUCCUGUUAAUCUGUUUUGUGUCCAUUUUAUUAUUUGUCUAGCCAUGGGGACUCAAGAAGGGUAGAGGAGAAAAUUUCCACCUGCUGGACAGUUCCCAAUUAUCCAUCUAAUAUUUAUGUAACUUAAUGACAAAGGAGAUUUUCUCUGACCUCAUGUUUCCUAUAACAUCCAGCAUAGUAACUCAUAUCUUUUGGUCACUUAUAAAUUUGUAUUGAUUACUUGAUCUAUAAUUUUAGAAUCACCGUGUCAAGAACAUGGAAGGAUUGCUAUUGAGACAAGCAAAAUAAAUGGAUGUGACAUAUCUCAAAGUUAAGGGAUUAAUCAAUUAUACUUCAAAUUUGAUGGAAGGAAUAAUAUCCCACUAAUUACCGGAAUUUAAUGAUCCAUCUUUGCCAUCAAUUUAUUGCUGCUGCCAUGAGCUAGGAGAGGGCCUGAUUGCUGAAUUGGAUUUGCUUGGCUAAACACAGGCUUCUUUCUUACUGAUGCCCAAUAAAGUUCAGCAUUUUGUCCUCCUUGACAAGCACAAUUUCUAGUUUAAAAUCUCCUUUAAGCUGUUUUUACACUAUUCUGAUCAUUUAAGGAAUCUCUGUGCUUUAGAAUAGUUUCUACAACUUUUUUUUUUUUUUUUGAUAGGGCCUAUCUGAGGUUAUUUUCAAAAUGUGUAAAUACAUCAAUUAAGUAACAACUGGCACGGUUUGGGAGUCUAAUGACAAAGGCUUGCUGGGAAGAAGGAGAUAAAAGAGUAAUGCAAAAGAAUGACCGUCUCGCUCCUGUGAAAGCUGGCUGCAUGACAAUAAUCACGUGAAAGUUAUGAAGGAAAGGCGAGGGGCUUGCUCUUUUCUGCUAUAUGCUGGGAAGGAUGUAGAGGUUCUACAUGCAAGUAGGUUACAAAGGUGAACCAUUUUUUUCCUCCUAAUUAAUGUGGCUAUUCUGAUUAAUAGUUUGUGGCUGACAGGGAAGGUAACAGACCCUUGGGCAUGCAAAUGAUGAGGAUUGGUGGUUGAGAAUAAACUUCUGGAGAAUUUUUUAAGUACAAUCUGAAAUGUGGAAUGUGUAUUAAAAGAUAAGUGUCUGAGGUCUUUUUCUUUCUCCCUUCAAAGUAAUUAUUAAGAAAAAUACAUUCCAGGUCUUUGUUUCUGAAAGAAAAUUUUCUCUAAAAGGAUUAUAUUUCUUUGGCUAAUAUUCCUUAUAUUUACUUGCUUUAAUAAAGAGUUAUGUUUCAGCAUCAAAAGAUAUUUUCCAACCUCUUUUCUAGGUAUAAAUGGUUAAUCUGCAUUUUUGGAAAGCACAGAUAUGGUGUGGUGAGCAAACAUUGCAGGUCCAAUGUCUUCGAGUGGUGAAUAAGCCUAAUUUUAAAAGCUGACUCUCCUAAACUAAACACACAGCACAGAAGCAUGUUGUAUGCCUGGACAGAAUUACUGAUAAUGAAUUAAGCCAACCAUUGAUUUGGGAACAGAAGGGAUAAUAUGGAUUUUAUUUACAAAGCCUCAGAAUCUUUUGAGGCAGACCCCAUAUCACUGAGCAAUACUGAACCUCUCGAUUCUUGGCUGUGUGUUCAUUUAUGGCGACACAUACUUCAGACUUUAAAAAAAAAAAAAAUCUGCGAAGAGGUUAAUUAAAAAUUUUACCCUCCCUCCAGCACAUAACUGAAGGAAUACUCUGAAAAUUGUCAGGCAAAGCACAAAAUUUUAGAUAAAAUCCUAAUAGUGUAAGUAUAAUAUUAGUUCAUUAAGGAAAGUGGUUGCUUGCCAGUUUUUUUUUUUUAAACAGCUAUGUUUAAAUAUAAGUAACCUUCCAUACAAUUCACCUAUUUAAAUGUACAAUUCAAUUGUAUUUAGUAAAUUCACAGAGUUGCGUAACCAUCACCCUGACCAAUAUGAAAAAAUUGUAAUGACCAUCCCCACAAAGAAAUCUCCUAUUAGUGGUCUCUUUCCAAUUCUUCCCAACAGCCUCAGUUUUAAGCAGCCACUCACUUUGUGCCUCUAUGGACAAAAGAUGGUCUUUUGUUAUAGCUUAUUUCAUGAAUAUAAUGUUUUCAAGUCUCAUUUAUGUUAUAUGUCUCAGCAUUUCAGUCCUUUCUUAUCACUGAAUCACAUGCCAGUAUACGAAUAUAUGGACCACCAUAUAAAGAAAAUGAUAAAUUUUCUUUAUCAUUUUACCAGCUUAGGGUUGUUUCUACCAUUUUGUUGUUGUGAAUAAUGUUAUGAAUAUUUGUGUAUAUGUUUUUGUGUGGAGAUAUGUUCUGUUGGGCUACACCCCAUAGUCCUGAAAGCUUUGUAGAUAUCCAGGCCUGAGAUUGAAGAAGACCCCAUAGACAGUUGUAGAGACAUCAACAGUUUAUUAAACAGGAGAUUUUAUGUGUCUGAGACAAAAGUUCAUGGAGUGACACCCCACCAUGGACAGUGGACAGCAGGCAGGACAUGGUACUCAUUGGGGGAGAAGAAGGCUACCAUUUAUAGGGGGGAUUGACCUCAGGUUGGCUCAUCAGGUACCAGGGAACUGUAGCUGGGUCAGGGGGCAAGUACAUGGGCAAUCAUUAAGCCCUAUGAUUAAGAGCAUUAGGUAGUCAUAUGAGUGCAGCAGAGCCAGAUUGAACAGGGGAUGCACAGAGAACAGAACAGCUAUCUUGGCAGCUCCCACUGUGGUUCAGUGGGUUAUGAACCCGACUAGGAUCCAUGAGGAAUGUGAGUUUGAUUCCUGGCCUCACUCAGUGGGUUAAGGAUCCAGCGUUUCUUUGGCUGUGGUGUAGCCCCACAGCUGUAACUCAGAGUCAACCCCUAGGCUGGGAACUUCCAUAUGCUGCAGGUGUGGCCCUUGGAAAAAAAAAAUAGCCAUCUUGAGUGGCCUGAACCUACAUGUGCCUACUUCAGGAAUGUCACUCACCACCCAGCUCUACAAGAAAUAAGUCAUUAGCCACUGCAGUCCUGGACCUCCAAUACACCCUGAAAAGGAUUCAGUGUGGGGAUCAGAAAUGAGGCACUCUUUGCUCUGGGAAAGUUGGCCUAACAGAACUUCAGGUAGAUAAUUUCAGGAGGAAAUUUUAUGAAGUAGCGUUCUUGCAUAUUUCCAUACUCAGAAAACUACUAAAAUCAUUAACAGAUAUCUGUUCCUUGGGACUUCUACUGAGACCUAUGCUUGAUUGCACAUCCCCACAUCCUCCCCAGCACCGGCCAAAAUCACAUACACACUGGUCUUCCCUUCCCCUCACCUCUUCAGAGCAGUUUCUCUGAACUAUCAGAGAGGCUGUCUGUCUCCUCGGCUAUGGGCCUCAGAAAGUUACCAAAUAAAACUGAAACU